Molecule: non-coding RNA, 174 nt
Organism: Bacillus sp. 2_A_57_CT2
Lineage: Bacteria; Bacillati; Bacillota; Bacilli; Caryophanales; Bacillaceae
Source: Rfam
UCCGUGGCGACACGGAAUCUAAAGGAAGCGAGCGGCAAACCUCCGGUCUGAGGAACACGAACUUCAUAUAAGGCUAGGUACCAUUGGACGAGUUUGCAGAUCAAAACAAAGUCCUUACUGCCAAAGGUGGUACAGAGUAAAUGGAGCAGAUAGAUGGAGGGAAAGACUGUACUC